Long non-coding RNA from Cannabis sativa, 1428 nucleotides. RefSeq lists it as uncharacterized. The transcript has 2 exons. The record is from RefSeq and is a predicted model, not a curated record. Lineage: Eukaryota; Viridiplantae; Streptophyta; Magnoliopsida; Rosales; Cannabaceae.
AACUUUGACAGUAAUCAAUAAUUUUUAAUGAAUGUUUAAACAUGGGUAGGCUAGAUCUGGAAUCUUUGGGGAGGCUACACUUAAUAUGACAACAUUAAUCUCUUUCUACAGUAUCAUUACCUACCAAAAUUUAAUAAGGCGUGUUGCUUCUAGGAAUUCUCAGUGGCAAGAGAAACAAUUUUUUCAAUGAAUCACACGGUGGUGGAGACCUCUUGAGUUAUAAUAUCUUUUAAGGUCAUCAUUCAAUUUACCACAACACAAUUGCCAAUUCUUGAACUCAUGGACUGUGGCAUGACCAUAUGUGAUCCCAAUUCUCCAGAGCCUACCUCAGAAGAAAGUAGUGAUUGUGAAGUACAAAAAACAUGGUAAUGCCACAGUCUCACAUAUUUACUAGAAUCUGAUCAUCAAACAUAGUAGUUUGAAAAAAAUAAGCUUGUGGGGUUGUUGCUUGAAUGUGAGUUUCUUAAAUUUACUAGAAAGUUAUUUGUACUUGUAGAGAUAUUUUUGGAUCUUAUGUUUUGUUAUUGUAAGUUGAUUAACAUUAACUUAUUCUUCGAACAUUUUUACUAUAAAACAUGGCAGAGACUGUUGCUGCUAUGUUGUUUCGUUACUCAUGAUUAUUUUUUCAGGAGGUUAUGUAUCCCAACAAACAAUAGUAAAAAGGGAAAAUCUUAUUUAUAUAUAUAUAUAUAUAUUAAAAGAAAAAAAAAAGAAAAAUAUCAUUGGUUGGUGUCUAGCUUGUAGAAUAUCACUUAGCCCAAAGUCAUAUUUAGACUUUGGUGGAAAAUCUUCGAUCAUAUCUCAUCAUUCUAAAUACAAUAAAGAUAUGUAUUACUAUUGUUAUUGUAUUACUUUGCUACACUCUAAUCUUUCUUCAAUUUGUCAAUUAUUUUACUUAAAAUGCAUUAUACUGAUUUUGUUAUGCUUAUUUAUUUAUUCAAUGUUUCAUUAGCGAUUUAUCCUUAUAUGCAUUUCAUUUUUAUUUAUUUGUUAUCUAUUUCUAGGAAACGUUGUUCAAGCAAGAGACAUUUAAGAGUUUUUACUUCAAAUAUUUAUCCAUACUGCCCACCCUUUAUGAGUCUUCUUAAGGGGAUGGGAUGUAUUGAUCUUUUUAAUUUGAAGAAACUAUAAGGGAGAUCUUGAUACGCUUCUAUUUCCUUAGAAUGACAGUAUCAUGACCUUCAGGGUUGGUGGAGCAGUAAAAUUUUUAUCUUCAUAAACUUAGUUUCAUUAUUUUAGGUUUAUAUGCCUUUUCAAUAAUCACAACUUUCACACUUCCCACAAGACUGAUAAUUUAUGAUUAACUAUAUAUUUCAUUAGGUCCUCUUGAGACAUAUAUAUCUGAUAGUGAUACUUAAUUGUAAUGCUUGAUCAUUUAGAAUAACUCUUGUUGUGGGAUAAUUUUGCUAAUAUAAUUAUAUUUUUUAA